UGAAAAGAUUGUCACGAUCGUCUUCUUGAGAGAGAUUGGACCAAGGCGCAGCGUGUGCAAAAUACAUCUCUUUAUUGUGGAAGAGAGAAAACCACGAAAACGAACACUAUACACAAACUAACAAAAACAACAAACGACCGUGAAGCUAAAUAACGUAAGUGUACAGACAAGCCACAAAACGUUCAACAUAGAUAAUUACCCACAAACACAUGAUGCCCAUGGCUGCCUUAAAUAUGGCUCCCAAUUAGAGACAAUAAACCACAGCUGUCUCUAAUUGAGAACCAAUCCAGGCAGCCAUCGACAUACAAACACCUAGACAAGACAUUGCCCCAUUAAACCUACAAACCCCUAGACAAACCAAAACACAUUCUUCCCCAUGUCACACCCUGACCUAACUAAAAUAAUAAUGAAAACAAAGAUAACUAAGGCCAGGGUGUGACAAAGAUAUUGUGUUUUAAAUCAAAUUCUACUAUAUUUUGGUUAAGUGUGAAUUUCUUGAAAGAACUUGAAAAGCAGUCAAUAUUUUUUAUGUGUCCCUGGUUUUGAUAGUUUGGAUACCCAUACUCAUCUGGUUUUCAGGUAAGUGUCUUAUGAACCUUCUUCGGGAUUGGUGUCCCGUCCACGGGAUGGUUGUGCUAACGUAGGCUAAUGCGAUUGGUAUUAGGUUGUAAGUAACAAGAAAAUUUCCCAGGACAUAGACAUAUCUGAUAUUGGCAGAAAGCUUAAAUUCUUGUUAAUCUAACUGCACUGUCCAAUUUACAGUAGCUAUUACAGUGAAAGAAUACCGUGAUAUUGUUUGAGGAGAGUGCAUAAUUUUGAACAUGAAAAGUUAUUAAUAAACAAAUUAGGCACAUUUGGGCAGUCUUGAUACAACAUUUUGACAGAAAUGCAAUGGUUCAUUGGAUCAGUCUAAAACUUUGCACAUACACUGCUCCCAUCUGGUGGCCAAAAUCAAAAUUGCACCUGGGCUGGAAUAAUAUACAUUAUGGUUUUUCUUUUCCAUUUAAAUGAUGAUGGUACAAAAAAAAUACAAAAGAAUGGUUGUUUUUUUCUUUGUAUUAUCUUUUACCAGAUCUACUGUGUUUAUUCUCCUACAUUCCUUUCACAUUUCCAAAAACUGUAAAGUGUUUCCUUUCAAAUGGUACCAAGAAUAUGCAUAUCCUUGCUUCAGGGCCUGAGCUACAGGCAGUUGGAUUUGGGUAUGUCAUUUUAGACAAAAAAAAAAAAAAAAAGGGGCGGAUCCUUAAGAGGUGAAAAUAUUUGUUAUAUGUUUACAAUGCUGGAUAAACAGAAAACAAGUUGAUUUUAAAAUUAGAGAAAUAACAAACAAAAAUGUUAUUUGUCUCAAUUCCAGCCUUACCUGAAGCUCAUCUACAACCCCUCAGCUACAACAAAAAACUAAUUUGAAUAUGGGAUAACAGCACUUCUCCCAUCAUUCAUGAAGGCUGAGGAGACAGAGACUCGGGAGGAGGAAGGAAAAUAAUAUGGCGGAUACAAGGUGUAUGGCAGGGAGAAGAAGCCCAAGGCUUGCAUCUGGAUUGGAAUCGUUGAUUGGAUUGAGAUGACACAUUUACAUAUCUUUCUGGAGUACAUUAAACUUUAAAGAUGAACUAUGAAUUUUUUAGUUGCUAAUAUUUUUCCUAAAUACCAAUCAAUUUCUUAACUCAUGAAACCACACAAGCCUUAGUUUUAGGCUAACAAUAUAUGAUUUUACUUGUGGGUAUGCAGUGAGGUCAUUUCAGGAUGAUAUUUCUGGCUAUUCAGGGAACCCCUUUUGGCUCAAGAGCACACCAGUGGCAAAUUAUGUGUAACCUCUCUAGAUCCUCUUUAUAUCUAUACAGUACAUGGCAGGUGUUGGUGGAGGUUACUUCUGUGAUAUAAUUGGACACCUUCUCAAUCAAUUGCUACAUAACAUUCAUUAAAACGUCCACCUAAGAGCUCUUGUUUUCGUGUGCAUACAAAGUACAAUUGACAACUGUGAUUUUGCUUGAUAAUGGAUUUAUUUGACAAUAGAAAAUGUAUCAUAUUGUAACUGAAAUCAGAUCUUAAAUAUAGGAGUAGGAAUCUGGGAUUGAUGUGCCGAUCCCUAAAGAUUAAACAAAAAAAGAAACACGUAAAUGGAAGUACAGUAUAUUCCUGAUAUGAAUACAUUUCAGAUGUUCAGUUGAAAAUAUGUCUCCUUCCCAUAUUAAAAACCUGGAAAUGGCCCUAAUGUUACCCUACCUCAAUUUUCCUUGCCCCCACAUACAAUUCUAUGGCUCAAACAGGAGUGAGAAGUUGGGACGACCCUGUAAAAAAUGUUUAGCAUGAUGACAUGAUAAAAGAACAAUAUAUGUUUCAUAUCACAUGUUAAAAAUCUAUAUAUACAAUGUAUACAUACUAUAAUAUAUUAUGUUAGUAUUGUUAUAGUCAUAGUAUAAGAAGUAGAGGUCAUACCUCAUCUAUGCCAGGGUCAACUGUGUCCCCACGGUGAUCUGGUGGAGGGUUGGCAGCCUCUGUCUGGAAUCUUUUAGGCCAUGUCUAUCAACACAAAAAUACAGUUGGAUAUCAUACAGCACAGUCUACAUCAGCAGCCCUCACAUAGAGGCCACAUUAAUGUUAUCCGUAUAUGAUUCAGACACAGUAGUAAGAGAUGACUUACCUUUCCUGGUGCCUGAGGUUGGGCAGCCUGUUGCAAUUUUAAAAGGGAAAAUAAUAAUAAUCAAGAUACUCUGUCUGGCCUAUAAAAUGAUUGUUUGUUUAAAAUUAAACUAAAAUCAUGACAUGACGAUAUA
Salvelinus fontinalis (brook trout) is the source of this 2774-nucleotide long non-coding RNA. RefSeq lists it as uncharacterized. The record is from RefSeq and is a predicted model, not a curated record. The transcript has 5 exons. NCBI's taxonomy places the organism in Eukaryota, Metazoa, Chordata, Actinopteri, Salmoniformes, Salmonidae.